Molecule: ribosomal RNA, 321 nt
Filed under: Triticum aestivum (bread wheat)
Lineage: Eukaryota; Viridiplantae; Streptophyta; Magnoliopsida; Poales; Poaceae
Description: partial small subunit ribosomal RNA
Source: RNAcentral
AUGCAGGUCGUCUCGGCGGUUAUACCUUCGAAGCGAGCAUUUCUAGAGCGGUUUGAGUUCAUCGUGGGAAGUAGUCAUUCACGUUUCGUAGUCGUUUCGGGGUCAUCGGUAGUGGGACUUGACGAAAAGCACGUCGACGCUAGCGGUAUAGACAUUCUCGGGGUACUUGUCGGUCCGGUCUUGGUGUAUGAUGUACAUGGCAAACAUAGUGGUACUCGGUGCCUGGCAAACAUAGUGGUACUCGUCGUUCGAGCGUCCGUGUGGUCUUGCCGGUGGGGUACUUGGCGCUUGUGGUCCAACUCCGAGGUCAUAGCCGUGUAG